AAGGCACAGCUAAGUAACCUUGCCAAUUAUUUAAAAAACAGCACAUAAACACAGGUAAUAUGGAUAUAUAUACCUAUCUCUUCCUCCUACUCAAUCCCAAACUUCUUUUUCAGCACAAGGACAAAUUCAUAGACCUUUUGAGGGUCAGGAAGAGACUUGGAUACAGACUCUUUCUGCAGGCACCUCUUAGCCCAAGCAAUCAGCACAGGACACUCAGGCUCUAUGCUGAAGUUGCCACAGGUCUCAUAGGCAUCAAACCAGGAAUAGAAUGGUAUAAGUGCAACAUCCACAUAUCCCAUGCUCUCACCACCAAAAUAAGGCUUGUUUCCAAGCUCACCUUCCAACAACUUAAGGGCCUCAAUGAAUUCUUUCUUGGCUGGCUCCUGCUCAUCUCCCUUUGUAGUCCAUA
This 409-nucleotide unclassified non-coding RNA is filed under the name Hevea brasiliensis (rubber tree). The record is from RNAcentral. Lineage: Eukaryota; Viridiplantae; Streptophyta; Magnoliopsida; Malpighiales; Euphorbiaceae.